UGUGCAGCUUUCCCUCUCUGUGCAGCGCCUCUUCAUUGCUGAAGAGGCGCUGUGCAGAGAGGGAAAGCUGCGCA
This is a non-coding RNA of Podarcis lilfordi (Lilford's wall lizard), 74 nucleotides long. The record is from the annotation of a GenBank genome assembly. NCBI's taxonomy places the organism in Eukaryota, Metazoa, Chordata, Lepidosauria, Squamata, Lacertidae.